UACGUAGGGUGCAAGCGUUGUCCGGAAUUAUUGGGCGUAAAGAGCUCGUAGGCGGUCUGUCGCGUCGGCUGUGAAAACCCGGGGCUCAACCCCGGGCCUGCAGUCGAUACGGGCGGACUAGAGUGCGGUAGGGGAGACUGGAAUUCCUGGUGUAGCGGUGAAAUGCGCAGAUAUCAGGAGGAACACCGGUGGCGAAGGCGGGUCUCUGGGCCGAUACUGACGCUGAGGAGCGAAAGCGUGGGGAGCGAACAGG
Molecule: ribosomal RNA, 253 nt
Filed under: uncultured bacterium
Lineage: Bacteria
Description: partial 16S ribosomal RNA
Rfam family: Bacterial small subunit ribosomal RNA
Source: RNAcentral